RNAcentral lists this transfer RNA (74 nucleotides) under Oryza sativa (Asian cultivated rice). Its description in RNAcentral is "tRNA(gly) (74-MER) from Oryza sativa (PDB 8H1C, chain D)". It matches the Rfam family "tRNA". From Rfam's summary of the family: Transfer RNA (tRNA) molecules are approximately 80 nucleotides in length. Their secondary structure includes four short double-helical elements and three loops (D, anti-codon, and T loops). Lineage: Eukaryota; Viridiplantae; Streptophyta; Magnoliopsida; Poales; Poaceae. The record is from RNAcentral.
GCGAGCGUAGUUCAAUGGUAAAACAUCUCCUUGCCAAGGAGAAGAUACGGGUUCGAUUCCCGCCGCUCGCCCCA